This 468-nucleotide ribosomal RNA is filed under the name uncultured bacterium. RNAcentral describes it as "partial 16S ribosomal RNA". It matches the Rfam family "Bacterial small subunit ribosomal RNA", at positions 28 to 507 of the family's 1533-position model. The record is from RNAcentral.
GACGAACGCUGGCGGCGUGCUUAACACAUGCAAGUCGAACGGAAAGGCCCUGCUUUUGUGGGGUGCUCGAGUGGCGAACGGGUGAGUAACACGUGAGUAACCUGCCCUUGACUUUGGGAUAACUUCAGGAAACUGGGGCUAAUACCGGAUAGGAGCUCCUGCUGCAUGGUGGGGGUUGGAAAGUUUCGGCGGUUGGGGAUGGACUCGCGGCUUAUCAGCUUGUUGGUGGGGUAGUGGCUUACCAAGGCUUUGACGGGUAGCCGGCCUGAGAGGGUGACCGGCCACAUUGGGACUGAGAUACGGCACAGACUCCUACGGGAGGCAGGAGUGGGGAAUAUUGCACAAUGGGAGGAAGCCUGAUGCAGCAACGCCGCGUGCGGGAUGACGGCCUUCGGGUUGUAAACCGCUUUCGCCUGUGACGAAGCGUGAGUGACGGUAAUGGGUAAAGAAGCACCGGCUAACUACGUG